Molecule: transfer RNA, 63 nt
Filed under: Megaspilidae sp. SJW-2015
Lineage: Eukaryota; Metazoa; Arthropoda; Insecta; Hymenoptera; Megaspilidae
Also listed under: 1 other name
Description: tRNA-Val
Source: RNAcentral
UUAAAUUUAGUUUAUAAAAAAUUAAUUAUUUACAUUAAUUAGAAAUUUUCAAAAUAAUUUAAA